RNAcentral lists this ribosomal RNA (683 nucleotides) under Zoogloea sp. 01WB01.2-5. RNAcentral describes it as "bacterial SSU rRNA". It matches the Rfam family "Bacterial small subunit ribosomal RNA", at positions 210 to 885 of the family's 1533-position model. The record is from RNAcentral. Lineage: Bacteria; Pseudomonadati; Pseudomonadota; Betaproteobacteria; Rhodocyclales; Zoogloeaceae.
ACCUCAUGCUCCUGGAGCGGCCGAUAUCUGAUUAGCUAGUUGGUAGGGUAAAAGCCUACCAAGGCAUCGAUCAGUAGCUGGUCUGAGAGGACGACCAGCCACACUGGAACUGAGACACGGUCCAGACUCCUACGGGAGGCAGCAGUGGGGAAUUUUGGACAAUGGGCGCAAGCUGAUCCAGCAAUGCCGCGUGAGUGAAGAAGGCCUUCGGGUUGUAAAGCUCUUUUGUCAGGGAAGAAACGGAUUUUUCUAAUACAGAGAUCUAAUGACGGUACCUGAAGAAUAAGCACCGGCUAACUACGUGCCAGACAGCCGCGGUAAUACGUAUGGUGCAAGCGUUAAUCGGAAUUACUGGGCGUAAAGCGUGCGCAGGCGGUUUUGUAAGACUGUCGUGAAAUCCCCGGGCUCAACCUGGGAAUGGCGAUGGUGACUGCAAUGCUAGAGUUUGGCAGAAGGGGGUAGAAUGCCACGUGUAGCCAGUGAAAUGCGUAGAUAUGUGGAGGAACACCGAUGGCGAAGGCAGCCCCCUGGGUCAAAACUGACGCUCAUGCACGAAAGCGUGGGGAGCAAACAGGAUUAGAUACCCUGGUAGUCCACGCCCUAAACGAUGUCUACUAGUAGUCGGGUUUUAAUUAACUUGGUAACGCAGCUAACGCGUGAAGUAGACCGCCUGGGGAGUACGG